AAAGUUGUGUAUCUAGAAAAG
Molecule: microRNA, 21 nt
Filed under: Sorghum bicolor (sorghum)
Lineage: Eukaryota; Viridiplantae; Streptophyta; Magnoliopsida; Poales; Poaceae
Description: sbi-miR5568d-3p
Source: miRBase by way of RNAcentral